GGGAAACGUCACAGGCUUACAUUUAUGUCAAAUUUAUUUUCCCCGAGAUACUCCGGGACUUAAUGCGAAAGAUCAAGGAAGAAGUAUCCAAACUCCGUGUCAAUCACACUUACCAUUUUACAUUUGGUUGCACAAUAAAUCAGGAAGACGAAAGAAUCCUUCACCAGAAGCUGAUCUGUCUAAAUGAAAGGCUAAGGCACUUAGCCGUCAGCUGGACUGGAGAAGAAAGGGACCACACCUAGAUGCGUUUCCUGGGCUUUCUAUGUAGAAAUAUUCAGCCAUACUCUCUUAGGGUCGUUUUAAAAUGCCCAACCGGUGGAUUUCUGAAAACUGUUAAACUGUAAGUAUAUAUGGAUUUGUUAAACCAGAUAUUAUUUUACGAUGCAAAAGUUAUCUCCUUAUUCAUGUUGUAAUGUGACCGGUCAGUAUUGAAAACAAAGGAGCAGAGUCUGGGUUAUUGCUUGACCAGAACCAGAAUGUUCCACUCCACACUUUGGCUGGUCACCCGACUGCAUAUCUAGCCUCAAUAACAGCUCUCCUUUUUUUCCAUUCUGACCGAGAAUUGCCCCGGAGUUACACAUUAUGUGUCAUUUGCUAUUCCUCAGACAGAUGUGGGCUAGUUUAUCAGAGUACACACCUGACCUGCUGACGAUCGCUGAUGAGGAUAUAAAAGUCAAUCUUAAGUAAAUCAGGAGCUGUCUUCUCAGGCGCUAGGUUUUAUGUGUGGGUGUCACAUGCAGGGUCAGAGGACAGCUUUCAUGUUGUGUCAUUUUAUUACUAUAUAAUAACAUUAUGCAAUGUUCUAUAAUAUAUCCAUAAUACUAUUUUGUGCACAUUUCGGUGUAGUUUAUCUUAUGGGUCCUAUGGAUCACAGCCACCUUUAACUAGAGACUAUCUGAUUAAUAUUUAUGAUGGGCAGUGUUUAGGACAUAAUUACAUUAUUCAGUUUUAAGUAUCUCGAACUCUAAACUAAAAACUACAUUUA
Molecule: small RNA, 985 nt
Filed under: Rattus norvegicus (Norway rat)
Lineage: Eukaryota; Metazoa; Chordata; Mammalia; Rodentia; Muridae
Description: uncharacterized LOC103692776
Source: RNAcentral